UUUUGUUCUGGUUAUGUGCGCAUGUGUGUGUAUGACAGUGUGGCCCCACCUGUCAUCCUCCCCUAGCCUCUGUUUUUUUUAUUUAUUUAUUUUAUUCCCCAGCGAAUAUACCAUUUCUGGCAUGUAGAACAUUUCCAUUUCGGGCAAGUCCUUUUCUGGACGUUUCCAAUUAUGGAAAAAUGCCAUUUCUGUCAUUUUCCUUUUCAGGCAGGUUUUAACUUAAUGCACUUGUGAAUAUUUUUCUACAGCAACCCUAACAUAUUAUAUAUGUUUUUGGGGUAGAAAAAUCCCACCAAUCCAGUGGUGCCAUUAGUUUCUGCAUUUGAGCAAGUUCAUGAACAUGUCAUUUUACAUCAUGAUGUUGUCUUGUCAUUUUUGUGUGUUUUAUUUCAAGCAUGCUAUGAGGUUGUUUUGCACAAGGAUAGCUUCAUUUUCAUGCCUACUUCAUGCUAGUACUUGUUCCAUGCCAUGAUAUGCCUGAUAGUGAGUUAAUCAAGCUUGUAAAGAUGCCAUGUUGAAUCUGUUUUUGCCAUGCCCUGUACUUUCACUAAGUCUGGAACUGUUAAUAAAACUUGCUAUGUUUACAUGAGUGCCAUCAUUUCUCAUGGUCCUUUUUGGCUUAUGGUCAGUAAGGGACUAUUGAUCUAUGCUUUGAGUAGAUUCAUGUCAUGCCUUGUUUGGCUAUUAUAAGUUCCUGUAGCAUGUUGUUUGCUUGCUCUAAAUAUGCCUUCCUGAUGUUAAUUUCUGGCAUGCUAGUAUUUUCACUAAGUCUGUGAACCUGAUAAUUUUUGCACUUUCACCAUGCUUGUUUGAACAUGUUAUGAUGUGAUUUAGCCGUAGCUCAGUGUUCCUCUUUUGUUAAGCAUCUCCUGUAGAUCACUGCCAUAUGCUUUGUUUUUAUGUUGGGGUGCUGUAGCAUAGUUUCUUGUUGCUUGAUAAGUGGCAUCGUGCUGUUAAACGCAGAUUUGCGUCAUCCUUGUUUUGCUUGUCAUUUGCAAACCGUGCAUCCUAUUCCGGCGAUCUUUAUAUCGAUUUCAACCGAAACCAUCUCAUCUUUCCAGCGGCAUACUUGGUUUGCCAAGUUAAUGCCCGGUUCAUCAUUUUCCUUCCGGAGCACACAUAUGCAUUGCAUAUCACAUCUCGCAUCGCAUGUCAUGUAUUGCAUCAUAUUGCUUGUGCAUUGUUCCUUGUUUGAUUGUGGUUCCGUUGCUUGUGUUCUUGCUUUGGGUAGAGCCGGGAGACGAGUACGUGAACGAGGAACCUGUUGAGAACGCCUACGAGGAUCAAGCCUUCGACAACUCUGAGAACCUUGCAGGCAAGAUGACCAUACCUUCG
RNAcentral lists this long non-coding RNA (1335 nucleotides) under Triticum aestivum (bread wheat). Its description in RNAcentral is "long non-coding RNA (TAES_LNC004607)". The record is from RNAcentral. Lineage: Eukaryota; Viridiplantae; Streptophyta; Magnoliopsida; Poales; Poaceae.